Molecule: ribosomal RNA, 497 nt
Filed under: uncultured bacterium
Lineage: Bacteria
Description: partial 16S ribosomal RNA
Rfam family: Bacterial small subunit ribosomal RNA
Source: RNAcentral
GACGAACGCUGGCGGCGUGCCUAAUACAUGCCAGUUGAGCGCUGAAGGUUGGUACUUGUACCAACUGGAUGAGCAGCGAACGGGUGAGUAACGCGUGGGGAAUCUGCCUUUGAGCGGGGGACAACAUUUGGAAACGAAUGCUAAUACCGCAUAAAAACUUUAAACACAUGUUUUAAGUUUGAAAGAUGCAAUUGCAUCACUCAAAAAUGAUCCCGCGUUGUAUUAGCUAGUUGGUGAGGUAAAGGCUCAACAAGGCGAUGAUACAUAGCCGACCUGAGAGGGGGAUUGGCCACAUUGGGACUGAGACACCGCCCAAAAUCCUACGGGAGGGAGCAGGAGGGAAUCUUCGGCAAUGGACGAAAGUCUGACCGAGCAACGCCGCGUGAGUGAAGAAGGUUGUCGGAUCGUAAAAAUCUGUUGGUAGAGAAGAACGUUGGUGAGAGUGGAAAGCUCAUCAAGUGACGGUAACUACCCAGAAAGGGACGGCUAACUACGUG